Molecule: ribosomal RNA, 364 nt
Filed under: Xanthomonas oryzae pv. oryzae
Lineage: Bacteria; Pseudomonadati; Pseudomonadota; Gammaproteobacteria; Lysobacterales; Lysobacteraceae
Description: bacterial LSU rRNA
Rfam family: Bacterial large subunit ribosomal RNA
Source: RNAcentral
CAUGGUAGGCAGUUUGACUGGGGCGGUCUCCUCCCAAAGUGUAACGGAGGAGUUCGAAGGUACGCUAGGUACGGUCGGACAUCGUGCUAAUAGUGCAAUGGCAUAAGCGUGCUUAACUGCGAGACUGACAAGUCGAGCAGGUACGAAAGUAGGACANGAUCCGGUGGUUCUGUAUGGAAGGGCCAUCGCUCAACGGAUAAAAGGUACUCUGGGGAUAACAGGCUGAUUCCUCCCAAGAGUUCAUAUCGACGGGGGAGUUUGGCACCUCGAUGUCGGCUCAUCACAUCCUGGGGCUGUAGCCGGUCCCAAGGGUAUGGCUGUUCGCCAUUUAAAGUGGUACGUGAGCUGGGUUUAAAACGUCGUG